UAGGGAAUCUUCGGCAAUGGACGAAAGUCUGACCGAGCAACGCCGCGUGAGUGAAGAAGGUUUUCGGAUCGUAAAACUCUGUUGUUAGAGAAGAACAAGGACGUUAGUAACUGAACGUCCCCUGACGGUAUCUAACCAGAAAGCCACGGCUAACUACGUGCCAGCAGCCGCGGUAAUACGUAGGUGGCAAGCGUUGUCCGGAUUUAUUGGGCGUAAAGCGAGCGCAGGCGGUUUCUUAAGUCUGAUGUGAAAGCCCCCGGCUCAACCGGGGAGGGUCAUUGGAAACUGGGAGACUUGAGUGGAGAAGAGGAGAGUGGAAUUCCAUGUGUAGCGGUGAAAUGCGUAGAUAUAUGGAGGAACACCAGUGGCGAAGGCGGCUCUCUGGUCUGUAACUGACGCUGAGGCUCGAAAGAGUGGGGAGCAAACAGG
Molecule: ribosomal RNA, 429 nt
Filed under: Gemmatimonadota bacterium
Lineage: Bacteria; Pseudomonadati; Gemmatimonadota
Description: Gemmatimonadetes bacterium partial 16S ribosomal RNA
Rfam family: Bacterial small subunit ribosomal RNA
Source: RNAcentral